GACGAACGCUGGCGGCGUGCUUAACACAUGCCAGUCGAACGGAAAGGCCCUGCUUGCCGGGUACUCGAGUGGCGAACGGGUGAGUAACACGUGGGUGAUCUGCCCUGCACUUCGGGAUAAGCCUGGUAAACUGGGUCUAAUACCGGAUAGGAGCCAUUUUUAGUGUGAUGGUUGGAAAGUUUUUUCGGUGUAGGAUGAGCUCGCGGCCUAUCAGCUUGUUGGUGGGGUAAUGGCCUACCAAGGCGGCGACGGGUAGCCGGCCUGAGAGGGUGGACGGCCACAUUGGGACUGAGAUACGGCCCAGACGCCUACGGGAGGCAGCAGUGGGGAAUAUUGCACAAUGGGCGCAAGCCUGAUGCAGCGACGCCGCGUGGGGGAUGACGGCCUUCGGGUUGUAAACUCCUUUCGCUAGGGACGAAGCUUUUUGUGACGGUACCUAGAUAAGAAGCACCGGCUAACUACGUG
This 465-nucleotide ribosomal RNA is filed under the name uncultured bacterium. Its description in RNAcentral is "partial 16S ribosomal RNA". It matches the Rfam family "Bacterial small subunit ribosomal RNA", at positions 28 to 507 of the family's 1533-position model. The record is from RNAcentral.